CCUCCAAAUACCUCCCUCAGAGCAGCCAGGCAUGAUGGCACACACCUGUAAUCCCAGCACUCAGGAGGCUGAGUACUUAGAUAUUAUUAAGAAAUCAGAUUUAGACACAAACCAAACUUGCAUUUUGCCUGAUAGAAUAAAUCAGUGGAUGCAACUUCUUUCCAUUAAGGAUGCUCGCUAAGACCUGUG
RNAcentral lists this long non-coding RNA (189 nucleotides) under Cavia porcellus (domestic guinea pig). Its description in RNAcentral is "lncRNA (ENSCPOG00000035020.1)". Lineage: Eukaryota; Metazoa; Chordata; Mammalia; Rodentia; Caviidae. The record is from RNAcentral.